This 253-nucleotide ribosomal RNA is filed under the name uncultured bacterium. RNAcentral describes it as "partial 16S ribosomal RNA". It matches the Rfam family "Bacterial small subunit ribosomal RNA", at positions 524 to 776 of the family's 1533-position model. The record is from RNAcentral.
UACGAAGGGGGCUAGCGUUGUUCGGAAUUACUGGGCGUAAAGCGCACGUAGCCGGACUGUCAAGUCAGGGGUGAAAUCCCGGGGCUCAACCUCGGAACUGCCUCUGAUACUGUCAGUCUAGAGUCCGGAAGAGGUGGGUGGGACUCCUAGUGUAGAGGUGAAAUUCGCAGAUAUUAGGAAGAACACCGGUGGCGAAGGCGGCCCACUGGUCCGGAACUGACGCUGAGGUACGAAAGCGGGGGGAGCAAACAGG